This is a long non-coding RNA of Bufo bufo (common toad), 364 nucleotides long. RefSeq lists it as uncharacterized. NCBI's taxonomy places the organism in Eukaryota, Metazoa, Chordata, Amphibia, Anura, Bufonidae. The record is from RefSeq and is a predicted model, not a curated record. The transcript has 3 exons.
GGAGAAAUGUGGACACAGGUGAUCAUAAACAAACCCUGUCUUUUCCCAAAACAAUGACUUCAGAUAGUCAUGUGUAUCUUGAUAUAAUUAGGUCUGGUCAAAAGAUUAAGGGAUAUGCAAGGUGUUUGACUAAACACAAAAGUCAUUGUCUAUUCAAGAUCUCCUCAAGGUUUUGUCUGAAACCUUAGUUAAAAUUCAUCGCUAGUAAAUGAAUAAGAAAAAAAACUAAGUGCCUCGAUUUUUGUAUGGAGUACUAGUGCCAUCUAGUGUUAGGGUAACAUAAAGAUCUAGGGUGUAUUUUCCCUAGAGGGAGGUUCUAUUAAUUAUAAAGUGAGGUCACAAGUUAAUGAUAAAACUUGGCCAA